UGAACCUUUACUAUAGCUUGACACUGAACAUUGAGCCUUGAUGUGUAGGAUAGGUGGGAGGCUUUGAAGUGUGGACGCCAGUCUGCAUGGAGCCGACCUUGAAAUACCACCCUUUAAUGUUUGAUGUUCUAACGUUGACCCGUGAUCCGGGUUGCGGACAGUGUCUGGUGGGUAGUUUGACUGGGGCGGUCUCCUCCUAAAGAGUAACGGAGGAGCACGAAGGUUGGCUAAUCCUGGUCGGACAUCAGGAGGUUAGUGCAAUGGCAUAAGC
RNAcentral lists this ribosomal RNA (271 nucleotides) under Escherichia coli. RNAcentral's name for it is "partial 23S ribosomal RNA". It matches the Rfam family "Bacterial large subunit ribosomal RNA", at positions 2094 to 2364 of the family's 2925-position model. The record is from RNAcentral. Lineage: Bacteria; Pseudomonadati; Pseudomonadota; Gammaproteobacteria; Enterobacterales; Enterobacteriaceae.